This 253-nucleotide ribosomal RNA is filed under the name uncultured bacterium. Its description in RNAcentral is "partial 16S ribosomal RNA". It matches the Rfam family "Bacterial small subunit ribosomal RNA", at positions 524 to 776 of the family's 1533-position model. The record is from RNAcentral.
UACGAAGGGGGCUAGCGUUGUUCGGAAUUACUGGGCGUAAAGCGCACGUAGGCGGAUACUUAAGUCAGGGGUGAAAUCCCGGGGCUCAACCCCGGAACUGCCUUUGAUACUGGGUAUCUGGAGUCCGGAAGAGGUGAGUGGAAUUCCGAGUGUAGAGGUGAAAUUCGAAGAUAUUCGCAAGAACACCAGUGGCGAAGGCGGCUCACUGGCCCGGUACUGACGCUGAGGUGCGAAAGCGUGGGGAGCAAACAGG